Molecule: long non-coding RNA, 5531 nt
Organism: Rosa rugosa (rugosa rose)
Lineage: Eukaryota; Viridiplantae; Streptophyta; Magnoliopsida; Rosales; Rosaceae
Exons: 5
Source: RefSeq, a predicted model, not a curated record
UAUUUUAAUAGUUAAUUCCUCACAUUUUGCUUAGUUAAUUCCUUAACGAAUCGAUUUUUAACUCAAUUUCUAUUUUCUUAGGUACAUUGGAGUAAAUGAUGGUGAAAUGAGCAUUAGGUUCACACUUACCUAUAAAUGGUGGAGAAAAAUGGAAAUGUACUAAAAUGUCAAUUUUACACAUUUUCCUACUCCGGCUAGGAGAAACCAAGCCAAGCAAGGAAGAAGGAGCGGCCGCCUGACCAAAUGAACUCCAAAUGAGCUGAAACUUUCCAGAUCCAUUUUAGACAUCCUAAGGAUCGUUUCUUAUGAAGAGUGCCAGAGCUAGAAUUGAGUGGAAGGCCUUCAAACAGUCAGCCCAAUUUCCUGCAGAAGCAAAACUGGAAAACUGGACCCGUAAGGAGUCCAGCAGCAUUUUCGGCCCAACCACAUGGAAUAAAAAUCUGAAAUUUUACCAGGGUGAUCUACACUCAUAAUGGAACAUUUUUUAUGAAGAGGUCAUAGUGAAAUUGGGAAUGCUUGUUGGAGAAAUAAUUGAAGGAAUAAAGGGGCAGAAACUGAUCUAAAAACAGCUCAACACCACAUGUUCAAGUUUCCUACCCACAUGAAGAAAGCUAGAUGCUUUUCUCUUUUUCCUUGGAUAUAUUUUUCUGCUCCAAUAGAUCAUCAUCACUUCCAUACUUCUACACCUUCAUGCCUUGCUUUCAUUUCAUCAUUACUCCAUCUUUUCCAUAUUUUACAAACCACUUUCAUUAUUUUUCUUCCAUUUAUCAUUUCACUCUUCUUUUUCUUCCCUAUAUAAACACCUUCUCCUCUCACUCUAAAAAACAUUCCUUCAUCCAUUUCAUCUUCUUUGUCUCUCCAUUUCCAUUCCAUUUUUCUCUCCAUUCUCUAGUUGCAAAAUUCUGCGUUUUCAAGUAAGAAGAAGAAGAAGAAGAAGGAGCCGGGAAUAUCAUAUCCUCCAUCGUCCACCUUGAAGGCUUGCUUCCAAGAUUCAAGAUUUCAACGUUUCAAGCACUCCAUCUCCAUCUCCAACUCACGGUACCGUCUGGCUGCAAGACGUAAAAUACAAGCGCUGCUUGGGAGGCAACCCAAUUCAGAAUAUAAUCAGAUUUGCUUUCUCUUCCCCUUUUACUCCUCCAUUUUCUUUUUGUUUUAGUAGUUAUUUUCGUAAAUUCCAUCCCUAUAUGCUUACUUAUUUCAUUGCAUACUUUUAAUUGAUUACAUUGAGGAUAAUGCAAUAUUUAAGUGUGGGGGAAGGGAUUUAUAUUUUUGUCUUUCAUUUUGAAUCCUAUAAAUAUUUUUGUCUUUCAUUUUGAGUCCUAUAAAUAUUAUUGAGUCCUAUAUUUUUAAAAAAUAAUAAUAAUAAUAAUAAAUAAAUAAAUAAAUAAAAAAAAAAAAAAAAAUGCAUUCAUUCAGUCUUAUUAAAUUUAGCUUUUUACAAAAAAAAUAAAAAAUAAAUAAAAAUUAAAAUAAAAAAAAAUUAAAAAAAUAAAAAAAAUAAUAAUAAUAAUAAUACACUGUAUUAUGCCAAAUCUGCAGCUCCGGAGGAGUUGAGACUGAGCUCAAGGGAAAUGCGAGAGCCACUCGCCCGCAUACCGCUCCUCCAAAGGAGUAAAUGGAGGUACAAGUCUAGGCUGAAAGACUUUAAACAUUAAGCGCUGCAUGGGAGGCAACCCAUUUCAACCGUAGCUGUGGAGGAGCCAUCAACGCAGAUUUGCUCUCUUAAACUCUAUCUCCUCUAUUACUAUUUUCUGAUUGUAUCUUUGUUAUUUGCGUUUUUAGUUUUUUUUUUUAGGUUUUCUUGAGUUAAUCAUUCCAUUCACAUGAUAAUUGUUCAUUGCAUGCUCUAACUUGUUUAACAUUGAGGACAAUGUAUGAUUUAAGUGUGGGGGGAAGGAUUAAUGCUUGUAGUUAGUUUUUGUCAUAAAAAGAAAACAAAACAAAAAAAUCGAAAAAUGUCAGAAAUAUAAAAAAUUUCGUUGCUUUUGUUUUUGUUUUGAGUCUUAGGAUGCCUUUCAACUGUCUGGGAUGAUUCUAUAUCUCUGAAAUCAUGACUAAAAGAGGAUCACAACAUUGAGAUGAUUUUAAACAUGGUAUUCUUUGGUUAAUUGAGAUAUAUGAAAAAUGUAUGCACUUGUAGUGGAUAUGGAUUGCAUGACCUUGGUACAGAAUAUGAGCAUGUUAAGAUGAGUUGUGAUUCAUAAAAUCCAUGUGAGAUAAUUGAACCAUGUCCCUUUUUCUUGGAGUGAAAUGAAAAAUAUAUUCUUAAUUUCUUGGCGAUGUUUUGAUGAUCUCAUUAUUCUUUCAUCUUGAUUGACUGUUUGCCAUAGAUUAAGUUUAAUUGACUAGAGAAUGCUAGAAUUCGCUCUUGUGCUUGUUGAGACGUGAUAUCAAUACAUGGCCCUGAUUCUGGAAGGGAUAGAGGUUCUCUAGGAAUUACCACCAUUGCUAAAUAAACUUGUGUCCCCAUUUGUGCCCGUCGUGGGACCCCCCUAGAUAAGCCCCUUUGAGCCUACAUUAAGCCUUUUCGUUCAUCACCCUUAAAAUCCUUAACCAUGAAGCUUAGUAUAGUUACAACCCUACCCUUUGUUCUAAGGACUUAGUGGAGCUAUCUUUUGAGACAUACUACAUGGGUUUGGUGCUAAGGAUGAAGAUUGAGAAGAGGUGAAAGUUCAAGUGUGGGGAUAGACUUGUCCAUAAAGAAAAAGAUAUGUUGAAGCCGUGAAAAAUGAAAAGAAAAGAGAAAAAUUGUGUACGGCUAAAAAGAAAAAAAGAAAAAAAAAUAUAUGUUUAUGGACUUUCAUCCCCCAUACUUAGUGAUUUUGGAGUUUGCUUUGAAUUGAAGGCCCACUACAGAAAAAUUUGGCCUUUGUCCAUUUCACUAGAGUUCAAGGGAAGUUUAUAUUGAAGAUUGGGCCCAACAUGAAGACAUUUGGCCCUCUUAUAUUACCUCUAUGGAGAAGUGACGUUUUUUGCAAUGCCUUGGUGAAAUAUUUCGAGAUCUCUACAUUCAUAUGAGCUCUACUAGGUUUUUAGGACACUUUGAUAAUCCUUACCUUUCAUUUCUUUAAACCUUGAGCCUUAGCCCCAUUACAACCUUUGAGAGGACCUUCUUGAUCCUUAAGAUGGGACAGCCUUUGAUGUGUAGAUGAGUUACAAGAGUUGAACCUAUGGCUUGGGUCCAUUAGUGCAAGUAGUUGAUAUCCUUCAUGUGAUCUUUUGAAAAAAAUUAUAUUCACAAAGUGCUUUUCGUUUCUUAUAUAUGUGAGCUAUUUGACUGCCUUAAAAUAUGUUCUCUCACAUAUAAAUGAGUGAUUAUAAGCUUUUAAGCAUUGCCUUGAUCUGAGAGAAGAAAGAGUGGAUAUACCUUGUGAGGAUAUGAAUCAUACUUGUCUGAAGCAUGCUAAGCUAAACCCCAAUCACCAUUAUUACAACCAAGUCCUACUUGUGUAUGUGUGGAUCAUAUGUUUUAAUUAACUCUCGAAUGCUUAACAUUGAUUCUUGAUUGAGUGCUAAUCUUGGUGUUGUGAAAGUAUGAGAUUUCUGAGACAAUAUGUUAAAGGGCAAUAGAGGUCUUUGUAAUGUCAACAUCAUGGUCUUUGUCUUUGAAUUUACUCUUUUAUGUGUGACGUUUUUUUUUUUCUUUGUGUUUUGCUUUGUGUUUUACGUUUUUGGUUUCUUUGAGUCUUUGUGUUUUUGUUUCCAUACUUAGUCAUUUUUUUCGUUGGUUUCUUUGUUUUGUGUCAUAGUCUUUUUGGUUUGUUAGUUUUUGAUUUUGCUAAGGGACUAGCAAAAGCUAAGUGUGGGGGAAUUUGAUAGGAGCAUUUUAAUGUGGUAUUUUAAUAGUUAAUUCCUCACAUUUUGCUUAGUUAAUUCCUUAACGAAUCGAUUUUUAACUCAAUUUCUAUUUUCUUAGGUACAUUGGAGUAAAUGAUGGUGAAAUGAGCAUUAGGUUCACACUUACCUAUAAAUGGUGGAGAAAAAUGGAAAUGUACUAAAAUGUCAAUUUUACACAUUUUCCUACUCCGGCUAGGAGAAACCAAGCCAAGCAAGGAAGAAGGAGCGGCCGCCUGACCAAAUGAACUCCAAAUGAGCUGAAACUUUCCAGAUCCAUUUUAGACAUCCUAAGGAUCGUUUCUUAUGAAGAGUGCCAGAGCUAGAAUUGAGUGGAAGGCCUUCAAACAGUCAGCCCAAUUUCCUGCAGAAGCAAAACUGGAAAACUGGACCCGUAAGGAGUCCAGCAGCAUUUUCGGCCCAACCACAUGGAAUAAAAAUCUGAAAUUUUACCAGGGUGAUCUACACUCAUAAUGGAACAUUUUUUAUGAAGAGGUCAUAGUGAAAUUGGGAAUGCUUGUUGGAGAAAUAAUUGAAGGAAUAAAGGGGCAGAAACUGAUCUAAAAACAGCUCAACACCACAUGUUCAAGUUUCCUACCCACAUGAAGAAAGCUAGAUGCUUUUCUCUUUUUCCUUGGAUAUAUUUUUCUGCUCCAAUAGAUCAUCAUCACUUCCAUACUUCUACACCUUCAUGCCUUGCUUUCAUUUCAUCAUUACUCCAUCUUUUCCAUAUUUUACAAACCACUUUCAUUAUUUUUCUUCCAUUUAUCAUUUCACUCUUCUUUUUCUUCCCUAUAUAAACACCUUCUCCUCUCACUCUAAAAAACAUUCCUUCAUCCAUUUCAUCUUCUUUGUCUCUCCAUUUCCAUUCCAUUUUUCUCUCCAUUCUCUAGUUGCAAAAUUCUGCGUUUUCAAGUAAGAAGAAGAAGAAGAAGAAGGAGCCGGGAAUAUCAUAUCCUCCAUCGUCCACCUUGAAGGCUUGCUUCCAAGAUUCAAGAUUUCAACGUUUCAAGCACUCCAUCUCCAUCUCCAACUCACGGUGUGUACCCUCAAUCCCCGGAAUAGAACGAUCCCUAUUUGCUUAUACUACUAACGAUGUUUUCAGGGUUAAAUUAUGCGCUUGCUUUGAGCGUAUCACAACGCUGCCCCCAGACGUGGAUCGAAGCCCCCCAGAGCCUAGCAUUCGACCCGACCGGAUCUUGGCCGUGCCGGCGUUGCACGGGCCGAUCCUCCCCAUUUUCGUGAUCUCCUCUUCCUCCUGAUCAUCCCCAUAUAAGCCUUGCAUGACGAUUUUGGGUGUAGAGCGCUUGAUCAAGGUUUGACUUUUUAGACGGCUCUGAUUCAAUCUGGAAUCAGAUCAGACGCUCCGGAUUAAUCGAACUUCAAAGCUUGAUCUAGGACGAUCUAAGCCAAACCAGACUUAGCUCCAGGUUAUCGACGGAUUGAUUUGGCGGACAAUUCGGGAAAAUUGUUGUUUUAGCUGUUAAGAAGACGCAGCUGGAUUAGAGCGGGUAGUCUUACAGGUCAGGAGAAUCAGGGCAGUGAUCGUGCGGUUUAGAGUAUUAGUAUUAGAUUUACAGCAAUUGUUUUGUGAGGAGAAUUAUACUCAUUUGAGUUUUACUAUUUGAUUUGGUGAGAGUGUGCUGUAAUAAGUAGCUUGAGGAUUUGGUUUAUGUAAUAUCAAAGGUGUAAUGUGC